GCAUGGCUGGCUCAGUCGGAGAGCCUGGGACUCUUGAUCUCAGGGUUGUGAGUUCGAGCUCCACGUUGGGUA
Molecule: transfer RNA, 72 nt
Filed under: Ailuropoda melanoleuca (giant panda)
Lineage: Eukaryota; Metazoa; Chordata; Mammalia; Carnivora; Ursidae
Rfam family: tRNA
About the family: Transfer RNA (tRNA) molecules are approximately 80 nucleotides in length. Their secondary structure includes four short double-helical elements and three loops (D, anti-codon, and T loops). Further hydrogen bonds mediate the characteristic L-shaped molecular structure. tRNAs have two regions of fundamental functional importance: the anti-codon, which is responsible for specific mRNA codon recognition, and the 3' end, to which the tRNAs corresponding amino acid is attached (by aminoacyl-tRNA synthetases). tRNAs cope with the degeneracy of the genetic code in two manners: having more than one tRNA (with a specific anti-codon) for a particular amino acid; and 'wobble' base-pairing, i.e. permitting non-standard base-pairing at the 3rd anti-codon position.
Source: Rfam by way of RNAcentral